Chiroxiphia lanceolata (lance-tailed manakin) is the source of this 3197-nucleotide long non-coding RNA. RefSeq lists it as uncharacterized. The transcript has 4 exons. The record is from RefSeq and is a predicted model, not a curated record. Lineage: Eukaryota; Metazoa; Chordata; Aves; Passeriformes; Pipridae.
UGUCACUGUGCUCCCUGGAGGGCUGCUCAUCCCUCUAUGCAGAGGAGAACUCCCUGGGCUGGAGAGCUGCUGGGGAGCCCAACAUCGCCGGUCAGCUCCAACAUGACUCUGGGGCUGCAUGAAUGUCCGUGUGCCUGUGGGAGGCAGCUCACCCAAAGCAAGGGCUCCUGCUUUGUGUGUUGAAUGCUUGCUUCUGGCUGACACUGAUUUUCUGUUUCUCCCGCCUAUUGCACCCUUAAAAAGAUACUACAGUAUUCUCUGAUAAUGGGCCUAAAUGCUUUUGCAGCUGAUAAGGGUGAUAAAAUCAUUCAUGCACACUGCCAUGGCAACCUACAGCAAUUGCUCCUCGCUUGCUGUGUGUGUUCUCUUUGGUGUGAGUGCAGAUGUGUGGUUUUGGUUGAGACUUGCCUGGGAAUUACCCAAAUCUGGAAGAUUUGUGUUUGGUUAUGAGCUCUGAAAGGAUGUGGAGCCACUGAGCAGCUCCUUGUCUUGCCGGCCACCCUCAGGGAGGAGCAGGUGGAGCAGGGCAUGCUUCACCUGCUGUGAGCCCUGGCAGUGCAAAUUGCAUCUCAAAAGAGUUGUCAGUGCUGAGGAGGAGGCUUCUGAAAAAGAAGUUUGUUUCCAAAUGAAUUGAAUUCCAUAGUGGUUAUCAAGAGGAACUGCUGGGUGUCUGCUCCCAGCUCUACCAUCAUCUAAGAUCAGUGUGCUGCCUCCUGACCAGGUGACAUCCCAGCUAGAGAAGUCGAGCGACUGAGUGUCAUUCUGAUGUUCUGCCCUCGUACCAGCCAUGAGCUGAACUCCACCCAUCUGUUUGACAGUUUUCUCCAUCACUCAUUAGUGUCAGUGCAAAAAUAUGUCUUGUGAAAUUGUGUCUCUUAAGUGGUGAAGAGAGAAGGUGGAUUUCCCAAGCUGCCAGCCUGGCAGUGGUGGUCUUGUGAUGUGGAAUAUUUACUGAGACCUUUGGAGCUAGAAGACUCCAACAGAGAUGUUUGUGAAGUGCACAAAUGUAGAAGUGCUGCAUGAAAUCAUGGUCUGGGUUGUGUUGAAGAUCACCAAGUGACAUGAAAUGGAAGGGAAGCUUAGACACAGCAUCAGUCUCCUCUGAUUAUUAUCAAUGUUAACCCCAGGUUGGUAACACCAGGCCUACCACGCAGAUCCUCAUGGUAGUCAGCCAGCAUGGUGGGAAACUUGCUAUUUCAGUGGGGAAAUGAGACAAAACAGUAUUGGGGAACUUGUCCGAGGUCAUGCAGAGAAGAUGACUGGGAUGUUGUUACCCACCACCUAAGCUCUGGCCUUUUCCUCUUCCUGCCUCAAGUGUGGUUUCCUCUCCUGACCCUACAGCAUCCCUCAGCCAGAGCAGAGAAGGAUUGCUUGAAUGGGGAGGUGAAAGAAGAAAUGUUACUUCACUGAGCUAUGUCAAGAAAUUAUAUGGGAAGAAGAAUCAGAGGAGAGAUGGAAGGAGCCCAACUGUCUUCUUCUGCAGGGAAGACAUCUCUUCGUAGCAUUGAGACUGCCUUUAGGAUUCAUGAUUCAGCUUUCAGAUUUUCUAACUAUGGAAGCUCUCCUGAGGAGCUGCAUCACACACUGCUGCCCCUGGGAUGGGAUGCAGAGCAGGGAGUGAAGAGGAGCUGCAAUGUGCCACUGCAAGUUGCUUUCUUGAGGAGAGAGGCUUUCUGGCAUGUCAUACAGUGCCAAAAGCCAUUUUACUCUUGACAGUAAAAAUCCUUAUCCUUUUUGUUUUUUUUUUUUCCAGGACAGAUGAUAUUUCCUGUUAGAGAUGCUUUGUAUGCAAAUCAAAGUAGUACAACGAGAAAAAAAGUCCUGAAAGCAAUCACACUGAUAAACUCAGCCCACUGGGGAAUUCCUGCUUAUCAUUUAUCUUUUCUUUUUUCAGUUCUGUACAAGAUACUUCUUUGCCUGUGCUUUCUUAUAGUCUUUAAAGUUUGUCCUGCCAGACCUCUUACUCAUGAACUACAGUGCUACUUGCAUUUUGCAGGGCUCCAUGUCAAUCUGAACAAACAAAAGGCAGUAAAUGCUGGAGAUUGGUGUUAACAGUUCCUGUGUUUUAUCUUUGCCCUACAUUGCUCUAGUGCUUUCUGAAGUUUAAGCUAGGCAUGAAUCUCACACUGCAGAUUGCCAUGUGCCUAUAGUGAUGGUCUACCUGAGAAGCCCAUAAACUUUCAGAAAGCUCAGGAAAGGAAUGAGGAGAGCAAAUAUGUGGGAGACCAGAAAGCUGGCUAAGAUGUGGACUCCUGCACUUUGGAUGUCUGAAGCUGCAUGGGGUGAACUCCCCUCUCACUACCUGCAUGAGUGAGCAGGAGUUACUGGAACAAAGCACCUAAUUCAGAACUGUCUGACACCAUCCUAGAUGAAAAUAAUAUGGAAACUUUAAUCAGCUCUCUGCAGCUGAGCAGUCCCUGGAGGUCCUGUACCAGGCCUGACCCACUUGCUGAACACCAGCAGUGCAGCACUGGGCACUGCACCUGCCUUCAGAAGAAUGAAAGGACAGCAAUCUGAAAAGAGAUAAGCACAGGGGAUGGCAAUCUGUGGAAGACAUUGCUGAGAAGAAGAUUCCCAUGUGCUCUUCAGAAGGGCUGCUGAGCUGCCAAAGAAGCACCAAGCUUUCUCCUUCCUGUGUGUACCCAUCCUGCUGGCUGCAGCUGGGGUGCCACGAACCCUUGCUGGACCCCAAGAGGAUGCAAGGCUCUGUCACUCCCUCGCAUGCUGAGGCCUGGCCAGACUCCACAGGCAGAGUGAUGCUCCAGGGCCUCUGGACAACCUCCUUCCUGGGCACAACACACCUUGAUUUUCUGGUGUUUUUUUUUAUUUUUUAAUUUUGGCUGAUUGAAUAACUGAAGUACAAACCUCCUUCACCUAUUUGACAUUAAUUCACUGAUGGAUGGCGUAAUGUUUCAUGUUUACUUUUUAACCCAUGGGGUGAUGAUGUGAUUAUAAGCCUCACAUCCAUGGUGUAUCUUUGAGCCAUCUGAAAAGUGAGUUUUUACAGAAAACAUGAGAAUGGUGGGGGGGUGGGAUAAAUUUUUUUAAUCCCUGAAUUUUGUUCUAAGUUUUGAACAAAUCAGAUGUAUUUCAUGGGACCAAAAAAGCUGUGAUUUUUCCCCUUUUCUUUCUUCAGUGUUGUUUUUUUGUUUUGUUUAGCUUUUUUUUUGGAAUUAAAAUGUUUACUCACAUAUAAA